Molecule: ribosomal RNA, 515 nt
Filed under: Clostridium sp. CJ23
Lineage: Bacteria; Bacillati; Bacillota; Clostridia; Eubacteriales; Clostridiaceae
Description: bacterial SSU rRNA
Rfam family: Bacterial small subunit ribosomal RNA
Source: RNAcentral
AGAGUUUGAUCCUGGCUCAGGAUGAACGCUGGCGGCGUGCCUAACACAUGCAAGUCGAGCGAAGCGCUUAUCUUAGAUUUCUUCGGAAUGACGAGAUCUGCGACUGAGCGGCGGACGGGUGAGUAACGCGUGGGUAACCUGCCCUGUACAGGGGGAUAACAGUUAGAAAUGACUGCUAAUACCGCAUAAGCCCACAGCUUCGCAUGAAGCGGUGGGAAAAACUCCGGUGGUACAGGAUGGGCCCGCGUCUGAUUAGCUAGUUGGUGAGGUAAGAGCUCACCAAGGCGACGAUCAGUAGCCGACCUGAGAGGGUGACCGGCCACAUUGGGACUGAGACACGGCCCAAACUCCUACGGGAGGCAGCAGUGGGGAAUAUUGCACAAUGGGGGAAACCCUGAUGCAGCGACGCCGCGUGAGCGAUGAAGUAUUUCGGUAUGUAAAGCUCUAUCAGCAGGGAAGAAAGUGACGGUACCUGACUAAGAAGCCCCGGCUAACUACGUGCCAGCAGCCGCGGU